Molecule: ribosomal RNA, 494 nt
Filed under: uncultured bacterium
Lineage: Bacteria
Description: partial 16S ribosomal RNA
Rfam family: Bacterial small subunit ribosomal RNA
Source: RNAcentral
GACGAACGCUGGCGGCGUGCUCAACACAUGCAAGUCGAACGGUGAAGCGCCUUCCUUUUUGGUGGGUGUGGAUGAGUGGCGAACGGGUGAGUAACACGUGAGUAACCUGCCCCCUUCUUCUGGAUAACCGCAUGAAAGUGUGGCUAAUACGGGAUAUUCUGGGUCUGUCGCAUGAUGGGUCUGGGAAAGAUAUUGUUUCGGUGGGGGAUGGGCUCGCGGCCUAUCAGCUUGUUGGUGGGGUGAUGGCCUACCAAGGCGGUGACGGGUAGCCGGCCUGAGAGGGUGGACGGUCACACUGGGACUGAGACACGGCCCAGACUCCUACGGGAGGCAGCAGUGGGGAAUAUUGCACAAUGGGCGCAAGCCUGAUGCAGCGACGCCGCGUGAGGGAUGGAGGCCUUCGGGUUGUGAACCUCUUUCGCCAGUGAAGCAGGCCUGCCUCGUUUGUGGGUGGGUUGACGGUAGCUGGAUAAGAAGCGCCGGCUAACUACGUG